GGAGAUGAUGAACUGACUCAGCCUGACC
This 28-nucleotide non-coding RNA is filed under the name Rattus norvegicus (Norway rat). The record is from RNAcentral. Lineage: Eukaryota; Metazoa; Chordata; Mammalia; Rodentia; Muridae.